AUUGAACGCUGGCGGCAGGCCUAACACAUGCAAGUCGAACGAGUGGCGGACGGGUGAGUAAUGUCUGGGAAACUGCCUGAUGGAGGGGGAUAACUACUGGAAACGGUAGCUAAUCCCGCAUACCAUCGGAUGUGCCCAGAUGGGAUUAGCUAGUCGGUGGGGUAAAGGCUAACCUAGGCGACGCUCUCUCGCUGGUCUGAGAGGAUGAACAGCAACAGUGGGACUGAGACACGGUCCAGACUCCUACGGGAGGCAGCAGUGGGGAAUAUUGCACAAUGGGCGCAAGCCUGAUGCAGCCAUGCCGCGUGUAUGAAGAAGGCCUUCGGGUUGUAAAGUACUUUCAGCGGGGAGGCGUUACCCGCAGAAGAAGCACCGGCUAACUCCGUGCCAGCAGCCGCGGUAAUUC
RNAcentral lists this ribosomal RNA (406 nucleotides) under uncultured bacterium. RNAcentral's name for it is "partial 16S ribosomal RNA". It matches the Rfam family "Bacterial small subunit ribosomal RNA", at positions 30 to 526 of the family's 1533-position model. The record is from RNAcentral.